UAAGGCCACACUGAGGGGCCUGGAGGCAGCUUGCAGCUCGAGGUUGGAGUCGAGUUUCAGCACAGCUCAGUGAUGAUGAAAUCUGACUCAGGGUCACACUGUCAAAUCCCCAGUUCUGCAAUUAACUCAUCAUCUCACUUAGCUCCUUCCUGCUUCUGCUGCCUUAUUGUAACUUAAGUAUCAGCAGCUACCACAUAGUGGCUACUACUACUUAAUUUGUGGAUUUUUCUAAAGCAUUAUAACGACACCUAUAAGAUGAAAAGCGUUAAAUAAAAAUUUUAUCUUAGUUCUUAAAUCCCAGUUUCACAAUUUUUAUCAUGCUGGUCACCAUAGUACAGAGGAAGCACAGCUUGUAAAUCUGGCUGUAGAAGAUGCCAAGAAUGUCCAUACAGAAAGAAGUUCAAUAAAGACAGAGCUUAUCUGGGUUGAUGAUGCCCUGCACAAAAUUACAUAUUUAAAUUUUACUUUUUAUAGGCUGUAUCACUGUAUGUCCCUGUAUGUCCUGAGAAGUUGCACUACUACAGCCUAAGAAACAUCUUAGAUGGCAUCCCUGUUAUCAGAGACAAGUACUUCAUAAUUGGACUAUCUCAAGGAAAAAAAAAAGAGGAGCAAGGAUUGAAGAAAAACCCUGCAGCUAUGCCAGGUUUGCAAAAGUGUUACUGGGGGCCAAAGUCCUCAGUCAGUGCGUAUUGCUAAGAAGUCACAUACCACACCACAGGAGAGUGACAAAAUGUUUGGACUCCUUUGCAAACACGGCUACAGAGAAGUCACCCUUAGUGUCCUGCAGUGAGGUGGAGAAGAGCAGCAUCUGUGACAGGCAGCUCACAGUCCUAGACCACCAGAAUCAGUGAAGAUGACAUACAUCUGGACAGCAUGUGCACUUCUGCCCUGGGAGGAGACCCUGCUCACCCUUCUUGCUCUCGCUCUGCUGGUAUCAUUUAUGUCCUAGACCACCAGAAUCAGUGAAGAUGACACACAUCUGGACAGCGUAUGCACUUCUGCCCUGGGAGGAGACCCUGCUCACUCUUCUUGCUCUCACUCUGCUGGUAUCAUUUACGGGUUGUGAUGUAAAGCAGAGGAAAUGGGGAGUGUAAAUACCGAUCUCACUCUGAAAAGGAUCUGGUUUCCUCAGGUACAGUUCGUGCUUAUCAUUCUUGCGCAAAAGCUAGUAGGUCACAGCUGGUUAAACAAACCCUGCCCAAUUAUAAUUUCCAUGUUUACAACAGAGAGUACUUAACCUUUUAUUACUCCUUUCCACCCAAAUCAAAGGUCUAAUUUUUUGCAUUCAAUUUUACUUUGUUCUUUUUUCAGAGUAAAAGAAAAAGGAAAGCAUUAAAACCCUGUAAAACUCACUUCAAAAGGACUUGAACCUAAUCUCCAAGAUUAACUGAUGUCUCUUAUUUCAGAAUGUACUAACUGCAUAUUAUACUUCAUGUAUAUGAAGACAAGAAAUGGCAUAUUGUAUAUAAAAACAGGAAAACGCAUUAUUCAUGUAAUAAAUGUUGUUUUUUCAUGUCUUCUGGCAAAAAAGUGGGCUGCCUACUAGUAAUUGCACAUCAUAUUUUAAAAUAAUGAUGCACAUUUUUAAUGAGUCAGUUGCUGCCUGCCCCCUGUCCCAGCCAGCAAAAGCACAUUCCUGGAGAAAGAGACCCUGAAUGCCCUCAGUGCAGCAGCUCACAUAUAUGCUUUAUAAAUUAGAUGCUUUAAGAAAAUUUAUUCCAAAUGUUGUUCAAAUUCAGCAGGUUUUGAAGGUGAAACCUUUACCUUGUACUCUACACAUCAUAGCUAAGUCAUGUUGUGUCUAAAAUAUGCUUGCUUCAAAUCUGAGAAAUAAAUCUUAUGUUCAAGUAAAAGUUUGACUAAAAUAAAACAACAACAAAAAAGGGAUUUCUGGGAAAUG
This 1900-nucleotide long non-coding RNA is filed under the name Ficedula albicollis (Collared flycatcher). RNAcentral's name for it is "lncRNA (ENSFALG00000016449.2)". The record is from RNAcentral. Lineage: Eukaryota; Metazoa; Chordata; Aves; Passeriformes; Muscicapidae.